This 588-nucleotide ribosomal RNA is filed under the name uncultured bacterium. Its description in RNAcentral is "bacterial SSU rRNA". It matches the Rfam family "Bacterial small subunit ribosomal RNA", at positions 337 to 916 of the family's 1533-position model. The record is from RNAcentral.
UCCUACGGGAGGCAGCAGUGGGGAAUAUUGGACAAUGGGGGGAACCCUGAUCCAGCCAUGCCGCGUGUGUGAAGAAGGCCUUAUGGUUGUAAAGCACUUUAAGCGAGGAGGAGGCUUACCUAGUUAAUACCUAGGCUAAGUGGACGUUACUCGCAGAAUAAGCACCGGCUAACUCUGUGCCAGCAGCCGCGGUAAUACAGAGGGUGCGAGCGUUAAUCGGAUUUACUGGGCGUAAAGCGUGCGUAGGCGGUCAUUUAAGUCAAAUGUGAAAUCCCCGAGCUUAACUUGGGAAUUGCAUUCGAUACUGGAUGGCUAGAGUAUGGGAGAGGAUGGUAGAAUUCCAGGUGUAGCGGUGAAAUGCGUAGAGAUCUGGAGGAAUACCGAUGGCGAAGGCAGCCAUCUGGCCUAAUACUGACGCUGAGGUACGAAAGCAUGGGGAGCAAACAGGAUUAGAUACCCUGGUAGUCCAUGCCGUAAACGAUGUCUACUAGCCGUUGGGGCCUUUGAGGCUUUAGUGGCGCAGCUAACGCGAUAAGUAGACCGCCUGGGGGGUACGGUCGCAAGACUAAAACUCAAAUGAAUUGACGG